RNAcentral lists this non-coding RNA (105 nucleotides) under Clostridium sp. RNAcentral's name for it is "SAM-I sequence". It matches the Rfam family "SAM riboswitch aptamer (S box leader)". From Rfam's summary of the family: The SAM riboswitch is found upstream of a number of genes which code for proteins involved in methionine or cysteine biosynthesis in Gram-positive bacteria. The SAM riboswitch acts at the level of transcription termination control. The predicted structure consists of a complex stem-loop region followed by a single stem loop terminator region. The record is from RNAcentral. Lineage: Bacteria; Bacillati; Bacillota; Clostridia; Eubacteriales; Clostridiaceae.
AAAUUAUCAAGAGUGGAGUAGAGAACGGCUCGUUAAUCCCACAGCAACCUAUCAUAAAGACAAGGUGCUAAAACCGUCAAAGCAAAUGGCUUUGAGUGAUGAUUA